RNAcentral lists this non-coding RNA (148 nucleotides) under Gorilla gorilla gorilla (western lowland gorilla). Lineage: Eukaryota; Metazoa; Chordata; Mammalia; Primates; Hominidae. The record is from Rfam by way of RNAcentral.
GCUGGGUGUGGUGGCGCACUCCUGUAGUCCCAGCUACUCAGGAGGCUGAGGCAGGAGAAUCGUUUGAACCCGGGAGGCAGAGGCUGCAGUGAGCUGAGAUCGCGCCACUGCCCUCCAGCCUGGGUGACAGAACGAGACUCUGUCUCAA